This 246-nucleotide ribosomal RNA is filed under the name uncultured Actinomycetes bacterium. Its description in RNAcentral is "uncultured actinobacterium partial 16S ribosomal RNA". It matches the Rfam family "Bacterial small subunit ribosomal RNA", at positions 796 to 1041 of the family's 1533-position model. Lineage: Bacteria; Bacillati; Actinomycetota; Actinomycetes. The record is from RNAcentral.
CACGCCGUAAACGAUGGGCACUAGGUGUGGGAGGUGUCGACUCCUUCCGUGCCGAAGCUAACGCAUUAAGUGCCCCGCCUGGGGAGUACGGCCGCAAGGCUAAAACUCAAAGGAAUUGACGGGGCCCCGCACAAGCAGCGGAGCAUGUGGUUUAAUUCGACGCAACGCGAAGAACCUUACCUGGGUUUGACAUGUUCUCGUAACUCCUGGAAACAGGAGCCCUCUUCGGAGCGGGAUCACAGGUGG